This is a long non-coding RNA of Tarenaya hassleriana, 996 nucleotides long. RefSeq lists it as uncharacterized. Lineage: Eukaryota; Viridiplantae; Streptophyta; Magnoliopsida; Brassicales; Cleomaceae. The transcript is spliced from 6 exons. The record is from RefSeq and is a predicted model, not a curated record.
UAUUAUUGAAUCGAGGGGACGUAGAUGAAGAUCCAGUUUCUAUUUAUAGAAGCCAUGGCAACAUCGACAUACGCAGUCACCUGAUUCGAGCUCUCUUCCCUGAUUCCCCUCUGCAACUCCUCCGUCAUCGUCUUCUCAGCGGCUGUGGGGCGGAUCGUCACGACCGACUCAGCGAGUCCCGAUCGAGUCGUCGAUGGGGACGAGGAGCAACGGCGAACUCAGCUUGUCCUUGGACAGCAAUCAAUCACCUUCAUGAAUCACAACUUGGAGCAACCUUCUCAUCCACGAGAGCCUUCUUGAGGAUUCCUUAGAAGACCGGACAACCCUUGGUGACCAUUCCUUUGGCCGUAGGACAUGAUGCCAAAGGACAUUGGUCACCGGAUGUGGUCCCCCACCAAUGGGGAAUGUUAAUAUCAUUGUGUUGGAACACAAAGAAGAUAGCUACCGUCAUGAAUGCAGUGCCUGCGUCCAGAGCCGCAGACAUAAUGUAGGUACCAACCAGGAACAGGGGCGAGGAUGCCAAUUAGGAAGAACCAAUUCAUCUCUGGGUAGACACCUUUAUUUGUGAACAUUCUUCCCGGACCGAUGACUCCCCAUAUGAUUGAAGCAUUGUAGAAUAGCCUUGGGCCUGGACAUUUCCAUGGGCUAUCUUUGGGAAGCAAGUCUGUCUGGCAGACAUUCUCAAUGUUUAUGAUUUGCCACCAUAUUGUCGCAAAGCAGACGGUCGAUGCGACAAUAGUUGAGACCAACUGAAAGUUGUACCUGGACAAGGAACAUAGAUCUCGGCGGGAUCUUCAUAUAGUGGCCCAGUUUAAAGUCUUGGAGGAAGGUUAGCGCUUGGGACAUACUUAUAUAUCCAUAUGUCUUAAAGGAUACAUUUGCCAAAGGCUUUCCAGGGUAGAGCAACAUGAGUGACUCCCGUCGCGCAUAAGGUUCUCUCGUCAUCACCUGGUUUGUUGUUGCCUGGAUUACUCCGACGGGCAGGGUAAAGAACAA